Molecule: long non-coding RNA, 1486 nt
Organism: Rosa chinensis
Lineage: Eukaryota; Viridiplantae; Streptophyta; Magnoliopsida; Rosales; Rosaceae
Exons: 7
Source: RefSeq, a predicted model, not a curated record
CGUCACUGUGAAUGGCACGUCGACGAUGUCGUCAUGGACGCUAGCCACGUAGUCAUCUGGCAGAAACUAUUUACUUCAUGAUUGAACGACUACAGCUUGCCCAAGUCAAAACGUGCACACAAUCCGAUGACCUUGAUGCCAAUAUUGCUAAAAUCGCGACUACCAGGCGGCUACAACACGUCGUUAUGAGUGUGACCGUUCUAGGGAUAGGCGAUUUCAAUGCAGAGAUGCUGACUAAGAGGUCGUAAAAUUUCAGAAAUUGGUCGUCCGUCAAAUGCCUUGCACAGUAGCGGUUGUGAAUUUCGGUUCACGUGUCCCUUCCUGGAAUCGAUCUGACCCCAAUUCAAUCAAACUGAAAGGGGAGAUCGAUUUCUUGCCCAGACCAGAUCGUCGUUGACGCGAGUGAGGUAGUGUAAUCCGGCGUAUUAACUGAAGAGGCCGAAGCCCUUGGCUUUGCUUUGAUCGUCUGGGACCGUCAGAGUCUCUUCAAAGAGCAUGAGGAACGCGGCCAAGUCCCUUCGCAGAUCCAGUACCGCAGCCCAUAAACCCCUUUGAAAUCGGAUUCCGGCCAAUCGGAUAUUCCAUCAAUGACAAAGGAGAGGUUGCCUUUCAAAGAAUCAUUUCCAGUUGUUACAUGUACAUCAUCUAGAAGCUUUAAUUUAGCCUUCCGGAUAACAAGGGUUGGAUUUCUCAAGGUUGAGCCUAAAGGUGAAGAGUUCAGUUUAUGUAUGGGGAUUUUGCUUCGAUUGUUGGAGAGUGUAUCAGCAGAAGGUUCAUAAUGUUUUUAGUCAUGGGUUGAGUGACCGAUUGAAGACUGUAUGUGUGACCUGGGAAAGCAUGUUAUCAGAACCCAUUCUACAAAAUGGAUUGUUGACACACAAUACAGAGCCACUGCUAAUUGGAAUUUCAGUGAGCUCUUCAGAUAAAGCUUUUAGAAUUGUUGAUAUUGGUCCUGAUGUUGAUAAAUAGGAGGAGGCUCUCAAAUUCCGCCAGCUCUAGGGGGAUAAGGCUGCACGUAGGAGAUUUAAAGAUGGCAAAAUAGCAGAAAGCACAGCUUUCAGGUUUUCAUCUGUCUUCCCACCUGAACCUCAUCCGCUAGCAAAUGUAAGGAGUUCUUUCGCAAGACUAAAGCACUUCCCUCCUUCCUACAUCCGGUCGCCGGAAGUUAUGAUCCAGGCAUGACAUAAUACCCUGUAUAGUGAUUCGCGACAUUUAUUAAAACGUUCCAGCCAGUUUAUGAAACUGUUUAUAAAUAGCGAUUCAUGACAUAAAUAAUGAUUUGACACGAAAUGAUGAGAAAGAGAUAAAGAGUAAGUUCGGCAUAUAUGGUAACAAGAAAGUUUGCAGGGAUAUACUCUCCUUCGGUUGGCAAUUCAAGGUGUGGACUCAUGUGAGAAACUGCCAUAUACAUUAGUCUGUACCAAAAUAUUUCUUGGAAUGCCAUAUAGGCAAACUCGAUAUUUUAAAGCAUAAGUCUUAAAUUGAA